Acanthosepion pharaonis is the source of this 105-nucleotide non-coding RNA. The record is from the annotation of a GenBank genome assembly. NCBI's taxonomy places the organism in Eukaryota, Metazoa, Mollusca, Cephalopoda, Sepiida, Sepiidae.
GACUAUAACACGGUGAAACACCCGUUCCUUUACGAUCAUUGAAGUUAAGCAACGUCGAGCCUGGUCAGUACUUAGAUCGUUGAAGGCUUGUGAAUUCCAGGCGCU